Non-coding RNA from Arachis ipaensis, 393 nucleotides. NCBI's taxonomy places the organism in Eukaryota, Viridiplantae, Streptophyta, Magnoliopsida, Fabales, Fabaceae. The record is from RefSeq and is a predicted model, not a curated record.
GUUCUGUGGCUGUCGGAACCACCGCUGAGGCUUUUGUUCUUUGGUUCAGACAGUAUUCUUUAGUUACAGAUUAAGUUAUCGGAGCCACAUGUUGCGCGAAAGGGUUGUCCUUACUGCUGCGAAAGUGAACAAAGCUAUGAUGUAAGCUGCUGGUAAAUUCGGGUUGAUUGAGAGUUCCGAUGACGCGUUUGGGUUAUGGUUUCGCGUUUUGAGGAUAUGGGUGCAGAAGUCACAAAGAGUUUACUUUGUUGUUGAUAUGCUCUGUAUUACUUUAGAUUAUUAUUCAUUGUACCCUUGCCUUUAUCUUGAUACAUUCUGUAAGAGGGAUAGGAAUUGUAUUGGUUAAUGCUUGUAAUAUGAUAUAUAUAUCUAUGUAUAUAUAUGGAUGUAUCC